AUUGAACGCUGGCGGCAGGCUUAACACAUGCAAGUCGAGCGGGGGAAGGUAGCUUGCUACCGGACCUAGCGGCGGACGGGUGAGUAAUGCUUAGGAAUCUGCCUAUUAGUGGGGGACAACACCUCGAAAGGGAUGCUAAUACCGCAUACGUCCUAAGGGAGAAAGCAGGGGAGCUUCGGACCUUGCGCUAAUAGAUGAGCCUAGGUCGGAUUAGCUAGUUGGUGGGGUAAAGGCCUACCAAGGCGACGAUCUGUAGCGGGUCUGAGAGGAUGAUCCGCCACACUGGGACUGAGACACGGCCCAGACUCCUACGGGAGGCAGCAGUGGGGAAUAUUGGACAAUGGGGGGAACCCUGAUCCAGCCAUGCCGCGUGUGUGAAGAAGGCCUUAUGGUUGUAAAGCACUUUAAGCGAGGAGGAGGCUACUUUAGUUAAUACCUAGAGAUAGUGGACGUUACUCGCAGAAUAAGCACCGGCUAACUCUGUGCCAGCCGCCGCCGUAA
Molecule: ribosomal RNA, 501 nt
Filed under: uncultured bacterium
Lineage: Bacteria
Description: partial 16S ribosomal RNA
Rfam family: Bacterial small subunit ribosomal RNA
Source: RNAcentral